Haliaeetus albicilla (white-tailed eagle) is the source of this 78-nucleotide non-coding RNA. Lineage: Eukaryota; Metazoa; Chordata; Aves; Accipitriformes; Accipitridae. The record is from Rfam.
ACCUGUGGGAAAGGUCCAACCUCACAUGUCCUGUAUAGAAUAAAGAGGGAUGUAUGUGGUCAGACCUAUCCCACAGGC